GAACUAGUUCUUAGAACUAAUUUCAAUGCGUACGUAUAUAUUUAUAUACAUGUGUACAUACACUUGAUAACCAUGUAAGUGGGGACUGAGGACGAGCAAUCGCAAGAAACGCAUGAAACAGAAUAUGCGCCACUGUUAUGUAUGGAUUUACUUGUGUAUAUGUGCAUUGGAUAUUAAUAGCUUGCUGAGAUGUCACAGAGUUACAGGCAUCUAAAAGAAAGACUAACCUCUUCGUUUCUUAUACGAUAAAUGGUUAUAUUGAACGCAACCUUGAACAAUUUUAGAUACUUAUCACACGACAAUUCGACAAAUAUUUAUCGAACGUAAUCGAACUCGAUCACAUGCGGAAUCACGUGCAAGGAAUAUCCCGCGAUAUUGUAAACCAAGGUAAAACGUAUGAUUAACAGUGAAAUGUCAUUUGGCGUUUAAGGAUAGCAGUAUGAAACGUAACUUUCCUGCAAGUAAACUUGAGUGGAUGGAUAAGAAAUUGAAGGAAGACUAGAAAAGUUUCUCUAUGCGAUGGAGCUAUUCCAUUAGACUUUUCAUGUUUCUUUUAUAUCCCAUUUUAGAUUUGCUUCAAAAUACUUAUUUUUUUCUCUUUUUUGUAUUUAUAUCAAGACCAUGUCAAAGCCUGAGACACCAAAAUUUGUAACUGCUCUUUUUUCCUUCAAAGGAAAAAACAAUGACGAGCUGUGUUUUAAAAAGGGAGAUGUGAUUACGAUAACACAGAUAGACGAAGGAGGUUGGUGGGAGGGAACAUUACAUGAUAAAACAGGAUGGUUUCCAUCUAAUUAUGUCAAAGAGUGCAGGGUUCCAGAGAAUAGUGUCUCAACUAUGAAAGCAACUGAAAAAGUUCUGCAAGAAUCUCCCGUGCAUCAAAAGCUAAAUCGUGAUAUUGUAUUGAAAGAUUUGGUGGACUCUGAAAGAGUGAAUGUAGCAGAAUUGCAGGGUUUGAUAAAUAGCUUUUUACAUCCUCUAGAAUCUGCUAACAUAUUGAACAAAGAAGAAUACAAGCAACUUCUAGGUAAUGUACAUGAAGUUUUGGAAGUACAUCAACGAUUGCUAUCCAACUUGGAAGCAGCUAUGACACAAGAUUCUAGAGUUGGAAAUCUCUUUCUAACACUUGCACCAAAAUUAAAGUCCAUUCAUACAAUGUAUUGCAGAAAUCAUCCGAAGGCAGUAUGUAUUUUAGAUCGGUACAGAGAUGAACUGAAUGAUUUCAUGGAACGUAGUGGAGCAAUAUCACCAGGGAUAUUAGUAUUAACAACUGGUUUAAGUAAACCUUUCCGAAGAUUGGAUAAAUAUUCUGCUAUGCUUCAAGAAUUGGAGAGGUAUACGGAAAGAAAUCAUCCUGAUAGAGGUGACACACAACGCAGUAUAGCAGUAUACAGAGAGAUAGCAGAUCGAUGUGCAUCUAUACGAAAGCAACGUGAGUUGGCGCUUCAAGUGUUAACAAGCGGUAUUAAAGGAUGGGAGGGAGAAGAGUUAAGCUCACUCGGGGAAAUUCUUUAUGUCGGAUCUGUCACUUUGGCAAGCGGAACUACUGGUCUAGAUCGUCGAGAUAGAUACUUUGUUCUUUUUCCAACGACUCUUUUGGUCCUCAGUGCCAGUCCAAGGAUGAGCUCUUUCGUUUACGAAGGAAAACUUCCAUUAACAGGUAUUACUAUUACUCAAGUGGAAGAUACAGAUGAAAUAAGAAAUGCUUUUGAAAUUACAGGACCAAUGAUCGAGAGUAUACUAGUACUUUGUGGUACUAAAGAAGAUCAGCAGCGAUGGAUCGAACUUUUAAUACAGGAACAAACAACAAAUAACAGUCUCGUGAAAUCAUCACCGACGUCACGCGUGAGUUACAGUUUACCUCCAUAUGCUCGUCUUUCAAGAUAUUUUGCAAAAUUAGUCAGACAAAAAAUUAUACGUCCUGAACUUUUGAAAAAAUUGCUUUAUUUACAAUACGUUCUGCGACCGGAUAUGAGUAAUGUAAAAAUGCGAAGGACUAAUAUAACGACAUAUGUCCUUCAUCCGAUGCAAACAAAUAGUCAGGAUAGUUGUUCACACAACUACUCGGCAAGUUUCGAGUCGAAUAAGAUCGCAACGGGGCAAUCAUUCGUUGGAACGACAAUGUUGCGUAAAUCUACUUUGACUCUCAAUGUGAAAUAUGCAUUAGCAGAUAUCGAUCUUAGUACUGUAGGAGUAACAAAGGGCUCAUCUUUGACGGAAUUAAUAUCAACUGAGAAUGAUACACGAGGUGAAAUCAGUAAAAGUUUGCCACUUGUUAAUGUUGGAAGUUCUAUUACUGCUGGUUUCGCCAAUAAUAAUAAUAAUAAUGUAAAUACCGUAAGCGUUGUUGACGAACAACUCGCUUGUCGAUCACGUUUCACGAAUCUUGCUCGUUCGUUUCCAAUUGGCUGUAACUUCCAUCAAGAUACAUUUGAUGAAACGAAGAAGCACAUAGAUGUAGCGGCCGCGAUAAAGUGUUGGAAGAGUAAAGAAUUCACUGACGAACAACCUAUUAUGAUAAAUUCUGUACAUCAUCCAUCCGUUCCUGUGUGUAAUUCAAACAUUAUUGAGAAUUGCUGUCAAGCGAAUGUAAUUAGUGUUGGAUCAUCAGAUUCAGGAAUGGCUGAAAGUUAUCGAUUAAAUUCUUCUGAAAUAAAUUCUUCUUGUAAAUCGUGUACGUGCGUUGAGAACAAGUACAGCAUAGAACAUCCUAUAAGGAUCUAUUCUGAUGAAAGUGAGAACGAUGAGAAUAAUUUUGAAUAUCAGUGCGUUUGUACAUCACCUUUUGGUUCAACCCCCAGGGAUAGUGCUCACUUAUCUGAUUCAUCGAAACACAAUGAUAAUACUUUAGAUCCUCCGACCUGCGAAACUGCUAGUACGAUAGUUUACAAUUCUGACCAUGCCUAUGCAACGAAUAAAAUACAAACAAACGAAAAUGUGCUUUCGAAUAAAUAUGAGCAUACAAUGCAAAGAAGGUUUACACAACCUAUACCAUACACACAUCAAAGUAUUGUACGAAAAGUUGGAAGGAAAGCAAUUCAGCCAAUUCGACCUGUGGAAAACGAUUAUGAUGGAACACAUCAAAUAUACACGUCAGGACUGUAUGCCCAUUGGUGGUUGAAGAAAUCUAUACCAUUUUCUGGAUGCUCGGAUCAAGAUUUGCAGUCAACAAAGCGGGAAACAGCAACAACAACAAACGCAGCAGCAGCAACGACAGUCACAACAACACAGAUCAAUCACGGAACAUUGUGUCUCCCUAGGAAUUAGAACACCUUGGAGUAUCGCUUCGUUACGACCAGCACCUCCUUUCUAUAGCUUCAAAGUAUUUGAUGAAAGACAAUUUGAAGAGGAUGCGAUCAUAUUGAAGGUGAUAGAGGCAUACUGCCUUUCUGUUAAUGCUAGAUUCACCGUCCAUUCUGGAGAAUCAACUU
Molecule: RNA transcript, 3428 nt
Organism: Bombus pyrosoma
Lineage: Eukaryota; Metazoa; Arthropoda; Insecta; Hymenoptera; Apidae
Gene: RtGEF
Gene name: rho guanine nucleotide exchange factor 7
Exons: 11
Source: RefSeq, a predicted model, not a curated record